This 2267-nucleotide ribosomal RNA is filed under the name Strombidium cf. sulcatum. Its description in RNAcentral is "small subunit ribosomal RNA". The stretch from base 523 to 2267 matches the Rfam family "Bacterial small subunit ribosomal RNA". The record is from RNAcentral. Lineage: Eukaryota; Ciliophora; Spirotrichea; Strombidiidae.
AUUACUUGUUAUGAGUUUGACUGUGGCUCGGAAUGAACGCGGGCAAUAUGUCUUGACACAUGCGAAUUGUACGUAAAUUCUAAAUGAAUUUAAGUGGUGCAAGGGUGAGUAAUACAGUAGCAGUUAUCAGUGAGAUUAGUAAUUAAAUACUAAAUAUAGAUAAAAUUUUGGGCUUACAAUACUUAUAUGUGUAUUACACAUAUUUAUAGUCUGUAAUAGAAUUAUUUGGCAAUGUAAUCGAUCCUUGACUAAUCAAGGGUUAGUACCUGAUUAACCUUAUGUUAAUCUUACGUGAUUAAUAAACAGGCCCUAACUAUUCGAAGUACUCGGUAGACUACUGAGGUUAAGUUUGAGUCCCUGAGUUAACAAAUAAAAACCCGUAAAGUCCAUAAUCUGUAGCUUUAAUGUUAAUAACUUAUUUAUUUAUUCGGCAGUUUCGGGCAAUACUUCUUCUUAGGAAGAGGUUUUCGAAACUAUUUAUGUCGUGUAAAUUGUAUAAAUUAUUUGCCCAAAGCUUAAAUGUACUUUAAAAGCCGUAUUGGUCUAAUUAAAAUCUAUCUUAAAAGGCGUGAAAUUAAAUUUAUCUACAAAAACUAUUUUUAGUUGCGUGGAAUAACUUAGCGCUCACUGGGACCGUAUCUGUUGAGGUAGGUAUUUAGUUUGUGAUUAGAAACUAAGCCGAAGACGUCUAGCUGGGUUGAGAGAUUGUCCAGUCACAUGGGAGCUGAAAAACAUCCCACCGUCGGCAGCAGUGGGGAAUAUUGGUCAAUGAACGAAAGUUUGAACCAGCGUAUUGCGUAAGAUGAAAGGUCGAUUUGUAAGGCCGCGAAGGCUACGAAAGCUGUAAAGUCUGGCUGCGAGUCAAAAUAAUGACAUUAAACACGUGAAAAUCCCGGGCUAAGAAGGUGCCAGCAGCUGCGGUAAUACCUUAUCGGGGGAGCGUUAUUGGCCCUUACUGAGCGUAUAGUAUGGCUAGACAAUUUAAGAAGUUGUGGAAUAAAUCAAAAAUCUAGAACUAAUCUAUCCACAAAACCUUAAUAUUAGGGAUAUUAAGAGGUUGAUAAUACCUAUAGUAUAGAGAUAAAAUAUUGUAAUACUAUUAGGGAUUCCCGACGGCCUCGGCAAUCUUCUAUUAGUAUCUUUCGUCGAACCAUUUAAGUAUAAGUAUCGAAUAGGAUUUGAGACCCUAGUAGUUUAUACCAUGAAUCAAUGGGUAUCAUAUGUGGAGAAAUUUAUCUUCGUGUAUACGUUAACGCUUGAAUACCUCGCUUGGAGAGUAAGGCUGCAAAGGUUAAACUUAAACAGAUUGGCGGGAGUUUGUUUGAACGGUGGAGCGUGUGGAUUAAUUCGAUAAUCCGCGCCUAAUCUUACCAACGUAUUGAAAAGUUUUGUAGUAAUAUUUAACGGUAUACUUCGAAAUACUUUAAAUUGGUACUGCAUGGCUGUCGUAAGCUCGUGUUGUGAAAUGUCCUAUUAAUUUAUCCAACGAACGCAACCUUUUAUAUAAGUUUAGGAGAAAAUUUUUGUUAAAGAAACGGAGUAUAUUUAAUUACUUUUAUACUACGCUUAAUGAAAUUUACCCUAGCUUAUACAUACUAUAAAGCUAGUUAAGAAUUUUUAUAAUUGUAUAAUAUAAAAAUAACCGGCUUUGGGGGAGCAGAGAAGAAGUCAAGUCAUUAUGGUCUACAUACGUUGGGCUUCACAUGCGCUACAAAGGUAGAUACAAUUAGAAGUAACUGCGUAAGCUGGAACAAAUCUAUAAAAACUAUCUAAGUCCGGAUUAUAGGCUGGAACUCGCCUGUAUCAAGUCGGAAUCGUUAGUAAUCGUGAAUCAGCACGUCACGGUGAAUGAUCUGUCAAACUUUGCACACACCGCCCAUCACGCUCGAAGAAUUGUGUCGGCUGGACACUUACUUUUAAGUAAUAGUUUAGCUACUUUUAGUUUAAAUAACUAAUAGAUUUUUAUCCUCUAUAACAUGCCUCUGUCGUGUUUGUCGAGGGGCUAUACCCCAGUUUAACUUAUGUUAAUGUUGGACUUCGCAACAACUGGGGAUUGCUACUCUUAACCCACAGUGCACUAAAACUAGAGCAGCUUAAGUGGUUUAGGAAUAAAAUUCUACCAUAAAGUAGCUUGUAAUGUGAGGAGUCUUUUAUUUAUCGGCCCCAAAACCUCUAUUAUUUUUUUGGUAGUUAAGGACGGUGUGGUAAUUUGAGCGAAGUUGAAACAAGGUAAUAGUAGGGGAACCUGUUGUUGGAUUACACAUAUC